Molecule: non-coding RNA, 27 nt
Filed under: Mus musculus (house mouse)
Lineage: Eukaryota; Metazoa; Chordata; Mammalia; Rodentia; Muridae
Source: RNAcentral
UAAACUGUCAACCUCUCCUUACCUUGU